UGUUAUCUGCAUUAGCUGCUGCCCACUGGGCGAGAUAAUGCGCGUCUUUGCUGUGUCAAGGUACCAUACUUCUUUUCCUUGUGUCUUGCUUCAAGCUUCCACUGCCAGCACCAGCCCUUCACUCUUUCCUUCUAAAUUUCUCAAGCUUAGCUCGCAAACUACUUCUUCUGCAUCUCUGAUAUACCUUCUUUCUCAGUCCAGGCCCAGCCCCCACUGUUCCAACACAGAUCCUGAUUCAUUGGAUGAAUAUUACGACGAUGAUGAUAAUGAAUAUUACGACGAUGAUGAUGGUUACUCGUUUGUAGGUGAGGAUGGGAUUUUUAUUGAGAUAAAGAAGCUUGGAACUAACUCCAGGAGAAUUCGGUCCAAGAUUGCUGUAAACGCCAGUUUGGAUACCAUUUGGAACAUUCUGACGGAUUAUGAGAAAUUGGCUGAUUUUAUUCCUGGUCUUGCCGUUAGCAAAUUAAUUGACAAGAAAGACAAAUUCGCUCGACUUUACCAGAUUGGACAGCAAAACUUGCCGUUUGGGCUGAAAUUUAAUGCCAAAGCUAUUUUGGAUUGUUUCGAGAAAGAUAUUGAGACUUUUGCUUCUGGGAAAAAGCGGGAUAUUGAAUUUAAGAUGGCUGAAGGUGACUUCCAAUUUUUCGAAGGAAAGUGGUCUAUUGAACAGGUGAGAAUUGGUUGUAUAUAGAAUUGCACAAACUAUACUUCUAUCUUGUUUGAAAAUUUCGGGUUUCUUGGACCACAACUCAAGAUAUAAAUUUAAUAAGAUCACAAUUGUUCUACCAGUGAUGACUUCUGAAUUUGCAUUAUUAAGCAGCAAUAGGAUUGCAAAAUCUCCCUUUACUUGCUUGAAAUUUGAUACCAUAUUUUAAAAUGCUGAUUAUGAUAUCAAUUUACCUUGCUUGCUGUCGAUGAUACUUGUAAAAAUAGGCUUGUAUUUUCUUACUUCCCAUGAAAAGAUUAUUGUAGAUACUGGAUAUGGCAUACACUUUUAGAUCAUUUACUAUCUUAUUUGGACAUGCUUGAAUGUGUGGGAGUCCAAAGUCCCAUGUUAAGAGGAAAUGUGGAAAAGUGGAAUAUGUAUGCAUCAAAACCCCGUGCCUAAUGAUUCUAGGUUUACGUUUGUUGUCUGACACAUAUACUGACCUUCACAUGGUGAGUUCUCCCCAACAUAUUAUACAAUCAGAGGAUUCUGCCCAGUCGGCAAAGUUUUAACCACAAUAAAAUAUGUUUUAGAUGAAGAGUAAACAAUUUUGUCACCAGCGAGACGCAUGGUUUACAUGAAUGGGGCACAUCAUGAAUACAUUAGCAGAUUUUUUUAGUGUGAAAGUUUGUUCUUAAGUUUAUAUUUUUCUUAUUGCUUGCUCAACUCAAGUUCUUAGUUUCUUAAUUAUUGGGUAUAAGAACUUUAUUAUUAUUUUUUUUUCAAUUCAGCCUUAUGAAUGUGUAUCUGCUAUCAAUUUUCAAUAAUUCAUUUCUGGUCAUUGCUUUGCCCAUGUUCUUUUUGGCCUUGUUUGUAUAUAUGUUCACUCUCCAUAUAUAUUCAUUUUAACAUUUUACUGGGCUCUGUUGCAAUUGGCUGAGCCACGUAAUAGGGCUUCUCACCAUAAUAUUCUCAAAUUAAUUCUUACUUUAUCACUAAUGCAUUCAAAUCCCACUUUUACUUAUAUAAGAAAUAAUCUCUCAUUACUUACAUGUAAAAUGUCUUUGUUGAAACUCCAGCAUGACAAGUAUGAAGUGUUUUAUUCUUUUGGAAAUUUGACCUGUGGAAGGUGCAUUACCUUAAACAUUAAAAUAAUUCAAGCAUUCAGGCCAGCAUCAUGCAGGUGGAUGUAAUGUUGCCUUCAUUGCUUCCUUCAAAACCCUGGGUUUUGCCUAAUCUAAGGCCACUAUUGAUGACUAGUUAACUAUUGAUAUCAAGUUACAUCUUUGAAGAGGUUUGCCUUGAUAUCUUUGAGCGGGAUUUAUUGUUCUUUAAUGCUAUGCCUGAUGAUCAUAAUUAUGAUGAGUAAUGCAGGUCGAUAAACCAAGACCCGAAGACGGUGAUUUCUCACUUGCUCAAGAAUUUGAAACAACUCUUUCAUAUUUUGUGGAUGUAAAGCCUAAGUUAUGGCUGCCUGUUCACCUAGUUGAAGGCAGACUCUGCAAGGGGAUACGGACAAACCUCUCAUGUAUCCGUGAAGAAGCACAAAAAGUGAUUCACAACACUCUGAAUACUCAAUAGCGUCAUUUACUUGACCAAAUAAUUGAUGCAGUGUACCUGUAUCAGGUGUAUUUCAUUUAUGAUUUCAUCUUGUAAAUUAUGAUAGAACAAAUAAUGCAAUUUUCUUGUCAUUUCUAGUGAUAUUAGGCUCAAAUGCCCCGUUGUCAAUGAGAGAACAGGAGAUGUAAGAAAAAUCCGAGUGAAAUUACAUACAUCUACCUUGUAUGAUCUGUAGUUCAUUUAGCGGGAUUCAGGAAUAGUGAUGGUGAUGUUUUUGAGCUGAGGCAGCCUUGUGGGUUAGUUCUACAGUUAUCCUUUUUAAGUAUGUCCUAGCAAUUUAUAAUCAUGGUGUCCCCUCCUUAACUAGAUGGAACCCUGCACGAUUAUCCUGCCACGGCAUACAAGUGAAAAUCUACUUGGUUUAGGC
RNAcentral lists this unclassified non-coding RNA (2633 nucleotides) under Hevea brasiliensis (rubber tree). Lineage: Eukaryota; Viridiplantae; Streptophyta; Magnoliopsida; Malpighiales; Euphorbiaceae. The record is from RNAcentral.